This 497-nucleotide ribosomal RNA is filed under the name uncultured bacterium. RNAcentral's name for it is "partial 16S ribosomal RNA". It matches the Rfam family "Bacterial small subunit ribosomal RNA", at positions 28 to 507 of the family's 1533-position model. The record is from RNAcentral.
GAUGAACGCUGGCGGCGUGCCUAAUACAUGCAAGUCGAGCGAACAAACGCGGAGCUUGCUCCUCUGACGUUAGCGACGGACGGGUGAGUAACACGUGGCUAACCUACCUAUAAGACUGGGGUCACUUCAGGAAACCGGAUCUAAUACAGGAUAAUAUAUUGAAACGCAUGGUUCAAUAGUGAACGAAGGUUUUGCUGUAACUUAUAGAUGGAACCCGGCCGCAGUAGAUAGUUGGUAAGGGAAAGGCUAACCAAGGCAACGAUGAGUAGCCGACCGGAGAGGCUGAUCUGCCACCCUGGAACUGAGACACGGUCCACACACCUAGGGGAGGCAGCAGUCGGGAACCUUGGACAAUGGGCGAAAGCCUGACAGAGCAACGCCGCGUGAGUGAUGAAGGUCUUCGGAUCGUAAAACACUGUAACUAGGGAAGAAGAGAUGUGGAAGUAUGUAUGCAUGUUUUGACGGUACCUAAACAGAAAGCCACGGCUAACUACGUG